Molecule: ribosomal RNA, 360 nt
Filed under: uncultured eukaryote
Lineage: Eukaryota
Description: bacterial SSU rRNA
Rfam family: Eukaryotic small subunit ribosomal RNA
Source: RNAcentral
CAAUAGCGUAUAUUAAUGUUGUUGCAGUUAAAAAGCUCGUAGUUGAAUUUCUGGUUAAAAUGGUAGCUGGCUUUAGUCGUUAUCAUUUUAAUCAUCCGUUAGAGAACUGUAGCCGUCCUUAACUGGUCACUGCAGAGAUCUAACAUUUUACUUUGAAAAAUUAGAGUGUUCAAGGCAGGCAAUCGUCAUGAAUACUAUAGCAUGGAAUAAUGGAAUAGGACUUAGAUUCAUUUUAUUGGUUAUUGAAUCUUAGUAAUGAUUAACAGGGACAGUUGGGGCGAUUAUAUUUAAUUGUCAGAGGUGGAAAUUACUUUGGAUUUGUUUAAAGAACGGACUACUGCGAAAGACAUUUGUCCAAGG